This is a long non-coding RNA of Gadus macrocephalus (Pacific cod), 237 nucleotides long. RefSeq lists it as uncharacterized. The record is from RefSeq and is a predicted model, not a curated record. Lineage: Eukaryota; Metazoa; Chordata; Actinopteri; Gadiformes; Gadidae. The transcript has 3 exons.
GUAGCUGACAGUGUGUUGUGUAGCUGAGUGUUUUUUGUGUAGAUGGAUCGUGACAGUGUUGUGUAGCUGACGGUGUUUGUUGUGUAGAUGGAGAGUGACAGUGUUGUGUAGCUGACGGUGUGUGUUGUGCGGAUGAAGGGUGACCUAGCUGACAGUGUGUGUUGUGUAGCUGACGGUGUGUGUUGUGCGGAUGACGGGUGACGUAGCCGACAGUGUGUGUUGUGUAGCUGACGGUGU